Molecule: ribosomal RNA, 465 nt
Filed under: Triticum aestivum (bread wheat)
Lineage: Eukaryota; Viridiplantae; Streptophyta; Magnoliopsida; Poales; Poaceae
Description: partial small subunit ribosomal RNA
Source: RNAcentral
GGAUGGCCACCGAAACAACCUAAAUCUUGGGGGGGGGGGCUGGGUUUCAAGGAUUUUGAAUUGUUCAAUCUAGCAAUGUUUGUGAAGCAAUGUUGGCGAAUCCUCCAGCAACAUGAGUCUCUCAGUGCCCGCAUCCUUAAAAGUGUCUAUUUCCCCACGACAUCAAUAUUGCAAGCAACACUCGGGUCUCGCCCUAGUCAGAUAUGGAGGGCAAUCAUGGAAGGCAUUGAAGUUCUUAAACAUGGACUCAUUAAAAGGAUAGGCAAUGGAACUACCACAGACGUUCGGUUGGAGAAUUGGAUCCCCAGAAAAGAGAUGAUGCGCCCUUUUGGGAACAAGGUGCCGAACCCCAUGAGGCUAGCUACAGAUUUUAUUGACCCUACCUUGGCGAAGUGGGAUAGGCAGCAAGUUGAGCAAACCUUCUUACCUAUUGACGUCCCUGCAAUCAUGGCAAUCCCUAUAUGA